UGGGGAAUAUUGGACAAUGGGCGCAAGCCUGAUCCAGCCAUGCCGCGUGGGUGAAGAAGGCUUUCGGGUUGUAAAGCCCUUCUGUUGGGAAAGAAAAGCAGUCGGUUAAUACCCGAUUGUUCUGACGGUACCCAAAGAAUAAGCACCGGCUAACUUCGUGCCAGCAGCCGCGGUAAUACGAAGGGUGCAAGCGUUACUCGGAAUUACUGGGCGUAAAGCGUGCGUAGGUGGUUUGUUAAGUCUGAUGUGAAAGCCCUGGGCUCAACCUGGGAAUUGCAUUGGAUACUGGCAGGCUGGAGUGCGGUAGAGGGUAGUGGAAUUCCCGGUGUAGCAGUGAAAUGCGUAGAGAUCGGGAGGAACAUCCGUGGCGAAGGCGACUACCUGGACCAGCACUGACACUGAGGCACGAAAGCGUGGGGAGCAAACAGGAUUAGAUACCCUGGUAGUCCACGCCCUAAACGAUGCGAACUGGAUGUUGGGUUCAAUUAGGAACUCAGUAUCGAAGCUAACGCGUUAAGUUCGCCGCCUGGGGAGUACGGUCGCAAGACUGAAACUCAAAUGAAUUGACGGGGUCAUAGCUGUUUCC
RNAcentral lists this ribosomal RNA (586 nucleotides) under uncultured bacterium. RNAcentral's name for it is "partial 16S ribosomal RNA". It matches the Rfam family "Bacterial small subunit ribosomal RNA", at positions 355 to 937 of the family's 1533-position model. The record is from RNAcentral.